UGAUUCUGAGUUUUGAUUUGGAUGUUUUAUGACAACCCAUAGAUUCUGCAGAGUCUCUGGACUACGGCUGUGCCCACACCACCAAGCACCUGGAGACCUGGACCUCAGAGCUCUGCAUUGGCCAGUGAGGAUAACCUCUGUUUUGCUUCCUGAAAAUAUCCCUCUCUUCUGAAAGCUUGUAGAAAACACUCAAUAAAUGUUUGUAAACUCAUAAUAAAUGAAUAGAUGUUUGGAUAAGCAGACAGACUGGUCACCCCCUUCCUCACUCUGAAUAAUUGCAUGGUCAUACAGGCAAUGAGAUGGACAUUUAUUAAACAUUUAUACACCACUUUCAAGCCUCCCUAAUCCCUGAGUUAUGCAUUUUUUUCUAUCAGGAAACUAAGGCACAGUGAGGUUCAGAGACUGUCAUCUCUUAUGUAGCUGGUCCCAGGGUUCAUUUGGGAUUUAAAUCAAGGCUACAAGCUCUAGAGCCAGUUUGGAGACAGGCUGCGAGAGCUGGGACUUCUGAGCCAUUCUGGAGACUCUGGAGACAGGCCGGUGGUGAGGCCUGUCCAACAGGGACAGGCAGGGACCUGCUCGGAAGCAGUUUCUCUGGCUUCAUCCUGUGGUCGGCUCCACUUUAUGAAAACAAGAUGAUGUCCAAACCGGACAAGUGACUUCAGCUCUCCAGGAGUGCAUGUCACCUCUGUGUUGCUGUGACCGACCAAAGUGCUUGGUGGGAGCAACCCAGAGGAGGAAGUCUGUUUUGUGCCCAGGGUCUAGGUCCUUGGUUGGCUGACUCCACUGCUCUGGGCCCAAGGUGAGGCAGAACAUCCGGGUCGGGGGAAGGGAUGGCAGAGAGAAGCCGCUCAGCUCACCGCAGCUGGGAAGCAGAGGGAGGGGGAGGAGCCAGGGGCAAGACAUAUCCCCAAGGCAUGCCCCAGUGGCCUGCAGGUACCUCGCAGUGUGCAUCCUAACCAUUCCUCCAUCGCAGGGGUCAAGCUACAGCUCUCAUGACCUAACCACCUCGCCCUGACCGUGCCUGCAGUGCAAGCGCUUUCAGGAGACCUCUUAGAGCCAGAAGACCAGCCAGAGGCGAGAGGUGACCAGAGGCUAGAGGAGUUUCCUUCCUGUGGCUGACGCUGCUAGAAUGGCGGACACGGGCUGGGGUUGUGGUUCACGAGACAGCCCGGCCUCGUAGGCAGAAAGACCUGGGUUCCACCCCAGCACCUGAACAAACAAAAAUUCCAGAGUUGCCCCCGCCCCCAGGGCUGCCCUUGGCAUGACUGAGAGAGCCCAGCUCCUGGCCCUUACCUCGGCUGGCUUCUGGGGAACCCCUCCUGAGACAGCAGGCCUCCUCGGGCCCUUCCCCCAGAGAGUGGGUCAAACUUGGGGGAUGGGGACAAGGAACUGUGGUCUGUCAUGUACUGUCCCCUCUACUGCGCACAGGCUCUGCAUGGGCUGCUCCUGCUGCCCAGCCAGGCCGUGCCUCCCUCUCAUUCCCAUGAAAGCCUGACCCACUCCUGUCAGAGAGCAUGGACCCUGCAGGCCUUCCUGGUCCAGGGACCCACGAGAGAAGAGGAAAGGACUGGCCUCUGAGUUCCAUUCCUCUCGGCCACAGCGCCCUCCCCCAGGCCACUGCAGUCAUGAAGCUGACAUGUGUCUUCUAGCUCAUCUUUUUACCCCUUUCUGCGUGCACACCCAAGAGCGAAACGGGCGUGCCGUGGUGUUUCAGGGGUACACCAGCGCUCUCCUGUUGCACCCGCCUUCUGCAGUCUGUUCACAUCUGGGAGCAGCGGUGGCACGUGGUCAGGUUCGUUCACUGUAACUGCCAGGUGGUGUCCCAGGCGGUGAGUGGACCGUGGCCGAUCCGCUGUCUCCUGACGCGCUCUUUCCAGGCUUUCAUAGCCGUGGCCACCCAUUGUCCCCGGGCCCCAAGCAGCCUCCCCCAUCUGCCCAGAGGGCUCCUCCUUUCAGGGCUCCUGCCUCAGCCUGGAUCCUCCUGAUGACUCUAAGCAUGCCUUCCCUGGAGAGCAGGCACCAGGGCCCCACUGUGGGCCCAAGCCCUUGCCGGGUAGAGCUGCGCCCCUCCAGAAGCCCAGGAACCUGGGCCCAGGGGACAGAAGAGCAAGCUCUUAAUGGCCUCAAGUGAGGUGAGCCCUGGCACCCAAGGAGCUCUUGGACAUGAGUCAGUCUGUGGCCAGGACACAGGGGCUGCAGGACAAGGCCACCCCUUGCCUCCAGACCCAACAGUACCACUGGCUCAGGGAGCAGCUCACUGUGGACAGCGUGCUGUCACGCAGGCAUCCUGCCUGGGCCGCUCACUUUACCUGAACAUCACAGUUGGCUCUGGACAGGCAAGAUCAGCCCUUCCUGGGAGACACUGAAGGUACUAAGUGGCAGAGGAGGGUUCGAGCCAACGCCAAGUCCCCUGAUCCAGGUCCUGUGCACUGCCCAGCGCCUUCUCAGCUGUGGCCUUGGCCGGGCCGAGCCAAGCCGGGCUCUACCGGGUGUUCAAGGAGAAACCGCCCAGCACAGCCAGGAGAUUAAGAGUGGCACAAGAUGCAGCCUGGCCACGGACGUCCUCAGAUCUCCAUGCCUUGCUCUGCAGGCUGUGGUGGCUGCUGGGCGCUGCAGACACCUCCUGCCUCUAGGCCCGAGGCCCCGCAUCAAGUGACCUGAGCACAGGACCUCAGUGCCACGCUGGAUGAGGUCCGGAGCUGGGAGCGACCUGAAGUGCUCAGCAUUCUGCAGAAGGAUGACACAGACUUGGGGAGGCCUGGGGAGGUGGCCAUCACUGGUCCUGAGAGGCCUGACCCAGCCACACCCAGGAGUGACGUGCCCCAGGGUCUGCGUGGCACAGUGGGAGGCAGAGAAAGCCAGGGUUCCAGCCUAGGGACGAGGGAGACUUGAGGGGAGGGGAGGCCUUGGAGGUUAGGACAGGUGUGUUCAUGGGCUGGAAGCCACGGGGGCUCCUGGCCUCUCAGGGCACUUGAUUCCAGCAGCCCCUGGGACAGGGACCAGGAGACACAUUCCAUGUGAGGCCCAAGGAAGGGAGUCCAAGGAAGGGAGGUUGGGGACCAGGAUGUCCCGGGCACCAGGAAGGUGCUGCAGCAGGGCUGGCACGGGGGCUGCUUCAGUACCCUCGGGUGGCUUGACCUCUGCCCUCUGGGACUGCAAAGGGGUCCGCAGGUGGCUCUGGGGAGUCAAUUGUCUGAUAGGCACUAUGUUCCUGAGAAUGUCCAAGGAAAUCUGGGGGCGGGGGGUGGUGGCAGGAAAGAAAAAAAACAAGAGUGAGAAACUGGGAGACGUUCUGUUGAUCCCAAACCAAGAUCCAUCCCCCGUCCAAGGCCAGGGCUGGGCAUCCUGAUGCCAGGGAGAGUGGACAGUGGCAGCACCUAUAAGCCUCUAGCAUGCCCCGGAGCAGGUGUGUUCACGGCCUCACUUUGCCGAGGAAGCAGUCAAAGACUUGCCUGAAGUCAUUCAGCUCUACAUCCCCGACGCUGGGCCCUGGGGCCAGCGCUCCGUCUCCAGGGCACACGCUUCCCAGAGCAGCACAUGCUCAGGAAUCUGAGGGACACCCAGCCUGGACCCAUGGACUUCUUUCCAGUUCCUCUCCCAGGCACAGGGACACCACAUCCCCGUACCCCGGCGGCUCUGGAACUGGCGCUAUUGCCGCACCCAGAAAACCAGAGCUGGAGGCACCAGGCAGGGCAGCAGCCUCCGAGAGCCCCGCACGCCUCACUCCCACCCCCUCUGCACGUCUGUCCUGGGCGUUCAAGCACGUCCUAAAGGCUGGGGGCCUUGGUCUCCUUGUCUAUCUCCUGGGGCAGGGCUGGGCGGUGCUGAGGUCAGUGAGGACCAUUCCUACACUUGCCCAGCGCUCCCCGGGCCACCUGCACCUCUUCCCAAAGCAAAGAUGGAAGCCCCCGCCCCGCCUCCACCCAGAGUGCAAAAGGAGGUGUCAGAGGGAACAGGAAAAUGGCUCAGCCCCCAUGGAAGAGGGGGGGAAAGGGUUUCUGGAGGGUGGGGCUGGGCAGGAGGCGAGAUGGCUGCCCACAGGAAGUGACUGCCAUUUGGCGCUGGCUUCCCCCAGGUCCCAGCAACCCUAGCUCUCCCCGGACACCUCGAACUAUCCAUCAGAGAGACCCGCAUGUCAGGACAGCAGGGCUGCCGGGCACAGGGGAGGGGCUCUGGAAAGUGGCUCACACCUUGCCUUGCCGGUGCUCUGCACCAAGGGAAGGCCAGCCUGAGGCUGCUGCCCCCGACCUGUCUC
This 4255-nucleotide long non-coding RNA is filed under the name Marmota monax (woodchuck). The record is from RNAcentral. Lineage: Eukaryota; Metazoa; Chordata; Mammalia; Rodentia; Sciuridae.